GGGAUCACACAAGCGGUGGAGCAUGUUGUUUAAUUCGAAGCAACGCGAAGAACCUUACCAGGCCUUGACAUGUACGGAUUAGCUCCUUGAAAGGGGAGUGACAGCUCUUCGGAGUCGGAACGUACACAGGUGUUGCAUGGCUGUCGUCAGCUCGUGCCGUGAGGUGUUGGGUUAAGUCCCGUAACGAGCGAAACCCUUAUCGUUAGUUGCCAGCGGGUUAUGCCGGGGACUCUAGCGAGACUGCCGUUGUCAAAACGGAGGAAGGUGGGGACGACGUCAAGUCAUCAUGGCCCUUAUGGCCUGGGCUACAAACGUGCUACAAUGGGUAGAACAAUAAGUUGCUAAGUUGCGAAACCAAGCGAAUCUUCAAAUCUACUCUAAGUUCGGAUUGUAGGCUGCAACUCGCCUACAUAAAGAUGGAAUC
RNAcentral lists this ribosomal RNA (424 nucleotides) under uncultured bacterium. Its description in RNAcentral is "bacterial SSU rRNA". It matches the Rfam family "Bacterial small subunit ribosomal RNA", at positions 917 to 1333 of the family's 1533-position model. The record is from RNAcentral.